GACGAACGCUGGCGGCGUGCUUAACACAUGCAAGUCGAACGGAAAGGCCCCUUUGGGGGUACUCGAGUGGCGAACGGGUGAGUAACACGUGAGUAACCUGCCCUUGACUUCGGGAUAACUUCAGGAAACUGGGGCUAAUACCGGAUAGGAAUCCUUGCUGCAUGGUGGGGGUUGGAAAGCUUCGGCGGUUUUGGAUGGACUCGCGGCUUAUCAGCUUGUUGGUGGGGUAGUGGCUUACCAAGGCUUUUACGGGUAGCCGGCCUGAGAGGGCGACCGGCCACAUUGGGACUGAGAUACGGCCCAGACUCCUACGGGAGGCAGCAGUGGGGAAUAUUGCACAAUGGGCGGAAGCCUGAUGCAGCAACGCCGCGGGCGGGAUGACGGCCUUCGGGUUGUAAACCGCUUUCAGCAGGGGCGAAGCUUGUGGUGACGGUACCUGCAGAAGAAGCACCGGCUAACUACGUG
Molecule: ribosomal RNA, 465 nt
Filed under: uncultured bacterium
Lineage: Bacteria
Description: partial 16S ribosomal RNA
Rfam family: Bacterial small subunit ribosomal RNA
Source: RNAcentral